UCCUGGUGGCUGAGAGGUUAAAGCGUCUGCCUGCAAUGCGGGAGACCUGGGUUCGAUCCCUGGGUCGGGAA
RNAcentral lists this transfer RNA (71 nucleotides) under Ovis aries (sheep). It matches the Rfam family "tRNA". From Rfam's summary of the family: Transfer RNA (tRNA) molecules are approximately 80 nucleotides in length. Their secondary structure includes four short double-helical elements and three loops (D, anti-codon, and T loops). Lineage: Eukaryota; Metazoa; Chordata; Mammalia; Artiodactyla; Bovidae. The record is from Rfam by way of RNAcentral.